This is a long non-coding RNA of Bos taurus (domestic cattle), 4721 nucleotides long. The record is from Ensembl. NCBI's taxonomy places the organism in Eukaryota, Metazoa, Chordata, Mammalia, Artiodactyla, Bovidae.
UUUAGUUUCUGUUUUGUGAGAACUCUGUACAAAGCGUUUUCCCUUGACCGCCUGUCCUCCCAGGCCUGAGAUGGCUUCUGUAGUGAGCAGAGCUGAAUAAACUCAAGGUUCCUUCUCGAGAACUGGGCAUCAUUGCCUGCUUCUCCACUUGUCACCGGAGAGUGGAGUGUCCUUGGAGAGGCUGGGGCCCCAGGAUUUGAGGAACUGCUCGGUAGUGGACCUUCAAAGACCUUAUCACAGAUUGAACAUAAUGAAGAAUCAUAGUCUUGCAGGAAUAUGGGGACAAGAGAGGAUGGUCACGUCCCCAGUCUCGGUGAAGGGAACCUCUUUCAAUCCAGCAAAGACCCUGUGAAGAUGUGUCUGUGAACCAGAAGGCAAGCUCUAGGAGGGCAGAGAAUUCAUCUGGAUCACCCUCUACUGCGUCAUCAGAAUCUAGAACAGUAUUUAGGAUCAUGGCUGUUCAAUAAGUUGCUGAAUGAAUGAAUGAACAGGAAGACUUGCGCCCAAAGUUGGCACAAGAUUUCUUCUAUUUGGACCCUCUUCAGAUUUUUUACUGCAAUACAGUUUCCUGAGAGAAAUGCAAAAAGGGGACAGUCUAACCAAAUAUAUGCUGACUAUCCCUACUGAGGCCCCUGCAUCAUCUGCUGUCCCCUGGCUCCCUCAUCCUGCCCCCAUCCCCAUUUCUGACUUGACCUUUUCUUCUGGCAAUUCAGGGCAGUGCCAGACCUCAGCAGCCUUUCUUUCCCCUAAUAUUUGGGGCCACCCUGAGCCUGCCUGGACCCCUGGGGUGCGUGCCAAAUAGAAAAUGCAUGUACAUCAAGUGUGACUUAGAAUAAGAAAGAGGACUGAUUGGAGCUUUAUAUCCCUGGACUUCUCCCCACUUCACUGUCCUUGGUGCAAGACUGGGGAUGGGCCCUUCACUCACGCUAGGGAUGUAAAGUUUACUGACCAAUACGCUAGGCUGCAAGUAAUCCAAAAGGCAUGGGUUGCGAAGAGAUUGAAAUAUGCAAAAAUCUGUUAGAAUGGUCCCUUGCCAAGUGAUAUUUGUGUUUCAUAAUUCCACCACUUCACAUCAAAAUCCAGCGCUAAACACACAGCAGGCUGGAUGUCUGAAGACUCAGAAAAGAACCACUGACACUACUAAAAUCAAGGGAUCUAAGCUCCCUUUGAAACUGUAAAGCCUUUGUUGAGGAAUGUCAUGGCUGUUCUGCCAUAACCCGAGGCAAAACCGGAGAAAUACCUUGGGGGCACUUUGUACAGCCCACUGGCCCGGCAGGGGCCUUGUGUACAUCCAGUCUUGAAAAUGGAUUGCCUGAUCAUGCAGCAAAUGAAGCUUUAUUAUGCAUUUGUCUGGUUGAGAAGAGAUAAAAAGCGUGGAUCAGAUGGAGUGAACUGUGGCCAACGUUUGGAAUGGGCUUUCCAGUGAAAAACAAGUUCUUAAUGAAGAGCGGCUUGCAGUUUCAGAUCUCCUAAGAGAGAGAAUUUGGGGUCUGUAAUUAGAAAUUUUACAUCAGGUGUUAGGUUCACAAAAUGGGCAGGGCACAUUCUGGAAGCCCAGCCCUGGAGGACAGCGAGUCAGUGUGUUCACUGCUGGCCGGGCGGCCCCAGGGGAAUGACUCGCAGGGAGGGUUGCGACCAGAGCUGGCCGAAGCCCAGAAUGUCCAAGAGCAACGAGUUAUCCAAGAAGAGGCAAGGGCCAAGCCCCAGAGAGUCUGGAAACACAAAGGGGCCACUGUUCUCCCUGACCAGGGCCAAGAAACCGCCUUCGACCUCAUGCUUUUCACUCAGUUAGCAGCAAACUCAUCUGUAUGGCUUUAAGGGUAAAAAUCUGGCCAGUGUCAGAAGCAGAUGACACAAAUGCAGAUGUAUUUGAAAGUUACCAGAACAAUGGGAAAUGAUGACGAUGUUAUUGUAUCGAGACGGCUAAAUGGCCUAGAAAUUUGGUGGUUUUGAGGGGGCUUCCAUUCUUCAUCAAUGCUUCAUCUCCUCGCACUGGAGUGCUUAUCUCUUUGCUUUUCCGGGGAGGUGUUACACAGACUCAUUUGCAUACAUGGUCCUGUGGUUCAUUCCGGAUUGUGAAACAUUCAGAGCGACGAUGGAUGAAAGCAAUCUGAAGCCAAUUUUGCCAAUUGAACUAUAGUGUUUAGCUCACGAGGUGUUUUCCUCAAUUAAAUUAGUAAACAUUGAUUGAGAAUCUGCCUAUCAUGUGAAAAGCUGAUACACAAAAAUGAACAGGAUUUGAAACGCGAGGAAAUGAAAAACAAACCGGCAGCCUGGAGAUUAUAGUUAAUCUUCUCUGAAUUGUCUCCACAGUUAGAGACAGGAAGUGAGCUAACUUACUAACAGCCAAAAAGGAGACUUUUUCUGGGAAAGCUCCCUCAGUAUAGCCAAAACAAAUAUUUUUAUCUGGGAGAAAACAAAAGUUAAAAUGAAUGUAAUACUGACCUUCACAUUCAGAUGCUAGAUAAGUCAAAAAGCUUCAGUAAAAAUACUGAACAUUUGCUCUGUGGUAGGUACUGGUUUUAUGAAAUUAAAAAUACAUGUCCUUAAAUUUAAGGACAAAUUUAAACAUAUUCUGUCAAAAAUGGAUAUAAUACAAAAGUAUGUUCCCUUUCCUCAAACCUCGUUUUGUUGCUGUUAUUGUUGUUUAGGAAUGUUAAAUGGAGAAAAAAUAAAAAUUAUCAUAAGUGAAGUUCUUGAAUUUGGCAGAGUCUAUCAUGAAUUCCUUGAGUACAAAACAAAGAAAUAUGGACAGGGUGAUGGUAGAGUAGGUGGAUUUGUAUGGUUAAUAGUUCACACCCCAACAGCACUGAUUUAUUAAUUGAUGGCUGCUGUGUCCCAGAAAAUUCUUGAAGACAUCAAGGCUAUGGGCUAACUGGAACAUCACACAUCUCCAAAUACAGUCACAUUCACAGAUUCGGACAUGGACAUAUCUCUUUGGAGGUUCAAAGAGAUUCAAAUGUGUAGUGAAUUCACUAUUUAAUCCUCCAUAUAAAUAGACUGAAUUCUCCAUUUAAUUCACUAUAUGUUUGAAUCCAGAAUGGUGAGAUAUCUGAACCAUUCUCUUUCUGACAUUGAUUCCUUACUCUAGUUCUUCUUUCUUCUAUCCCUGCCUACCUUCCCGCCCCAUGUCCAACACUUAGCCCAGCCAAUUUCUACCUUCUUAGGAGCUUCUGAGUGCAUCUCUUCCAGGAAGCCUUCCCUGACCACUGCAGGCCCAGCAUUCAGUGCGAUCCCUGGCACAUAAAGAGCUCAAUAAAUAUCUGUUGAGAGAAUAAAUGAAACUAUCAAACCAGGCCAAUGAUGAUGCCCACCUUCUCUGGAGUUACUGAGAAGUGAUAAGUUUUCAGUGAUGCCUGGAGAAUUUCUAGCAGGAGAUGAGACUAUUAUUAGGUUUGUUAAUUCUAGAAAACCUUUCCAUUGAAACCACACCAUGAAUAUUUAAAGAGAAUCAGAUGUUUAACCUAAACUCCUUUUUAUUCUCAAGGCCCAAGAAUGUAGGGAGUUAAAAGACAAAUUGCUUUACUUUCCACUGGGCUAAUGACUUUAAUUAACACUGAGCAAUUCUGGACAGUGGGAGUUUUUUGCCAUGUUGUGUUUUGGAAAGAGGAGGAUAAGGUUUUUCUGAUGAAAGCUUCCCAUUGUAACCAGGACGAGGAAGAUAAGGGGCCUUGUUCAGCUUGUAAAACUUCUCCUGAUGUAGAGCAACACCAGUUGGAUUGAGUAGAGAGAACUCAGCUUAUUAAAAGCAGUUAAAAUGGCACAUUCUGAGGCUUUGUAAUUGGUUUAAAAAUUGAAGUUGCUGGACUUUCCUGGUGGCGCAGUGGAUAAGAAUCCACCUGCUAGGGGCUUCCCUGGUGGCUUAGUGGUAGAGAAUCCCCCUGCCAAUGCAGAAGACAUGGGUUUGAUCCCUGGUUCCAGAAGAUCCCACCUGUGUGGAGCAACUAAGCCUGUGCACCACAACGACUAAGCCUGCACUCCAGAGUUCAGGAGCAACAACUACUGAAGCCCGUGCCCUAGAGCCCAUGCUCUGCAAAAAGAGAAGCCACUGCAAUGCGAAGGCUGUGAACCACAACUAGAGAGGAGCCCCUGCCUGCCACAACUAGAGAAAAACCCACGCGGCAAGAAGACCCAGCGCUGCCAAAAAGUAAAUAAAUAAAUGCAUGACUUUUUUUUAAUAAAUAAAAUUGAAGUUGCUAACACAACAUUGUAACUCAACUAUCAGUUCAGUUCAGUCACUCAGUCGUGUCCAACUCUUUGCAACCCUAAGGACUGCAGCAUGCCAGGCUUUCCUGUCCAUCACCAACUCCCGGAGCUUACUCAAACUCAUGUCAAUCGAGUUGGUGAUACCAUCCUAUCUCAUCCUCUGUCUUCCCCUUCUCCUCCCACCUUCAGUCUUUCCCAGCAUCUUUCCCAGGGUCUUUUCCAAUGAGUCAGUUCUUCGCAUCACGUAGCCAAAGUAUUGGAGUUUCACCUUCAGCAUCAGUCCUUCCAAUGAAUAUUCAGGACUGAUUUCCUUUAGGAUUGACUGGUUGGAUCUCCUUUCAGUCCAAGGGACUCUCAAGAGUUUUCUCCAACACCACAGUUCAAAAGCAUCAAUUCUUCGGUGCUCAGCUUUGUUUAUAGUCCAACUCUCACAUCCAUACAUGACCACUGGAAAAACCAUAGCUUUGACUAGAUGGACCUUUGGGGCAAAGUGAUAUCUCUGCUUUUUACUAUGC